GGAGGCGUAGCUCAGCAGGUUAGAGCGCCUGCUUCACACGCAGGAGGUCUCCGGUUCGAGCCCGGACGUCUCCACCA
RNAcentral lists this transfer RNA (77 nucleotides) under Oscillospiraceae bacterium. RNAcentral's name for it is "tRNA-Val". It matches the Rfam family "tRNA". From Rfam's summary of the family: Transfer RNA (tRNA) molecules are approximately 80 nucleotides in length. Their secondary structure includes four short double-helical elements and three loops (D, anti-codon, and T loops). Lineage: Bacteria; Bacillati; Bacillota; Clostridia; Eubacteriales; Oscillospiraceae. The record is from RNAcentral.